CCUCCGGGUGGCUGCAGUGGGGAAUAUUGGACAAUGGGCGAAAGCCUGAUCCAGCCAUGCCGCGUGUGUGAAGAAGGCCUUCGGGUUGUAAAGCACUUUCAGUGGGGAAGAAAGCCUUGGGGCUAAUACCCUCGAGGAAGGACAUCACCCACAGAAGAAGCACCGGCUAACUCCGUGCCAGCAGCCGCGGUAAUACGGAGGGUGCGAGCGUUAAUCGGAAUUACUGGGCGUAAAGCGCGCGUAGGCGGUCUGAUAAGCCGGUUGUGAAAGCCCCGGGCUCAACCUGGGAACGGCAUCCGGAACUGUCAGGCUAGAGUGCAGGAGAGGAAGGUAGAAUUCCCGGUGUAGCGGUGAAAUGCGUAGAGAUCGGGAGGAAUACCAGUGGCGAAGGCGGCCUUCUGGACUGACACUGACGCUGAGGUGCGAAAGCGUGGGUAGCAAACAGGAUUAGAUACCCGAGUAGUC
RNAcentral lists this ribosomal RNA (465 nucleotides) under Vreelandella stevensii. RNAcentral's name for it is "partial 16S ribosomal RNA". It matches the Rfam family "Bacterial small subunit ribosomal RNA", at positions 338 to 795 of the family's 1533-position model. Lineage: Bacteria; Pseudomonadati; Pseudomonadota; Gammaproteobacteria; Oceanospirillales; Halomonadaceae. The record is from RNAcentral.